UUCCACGUGAUCCGUGACGAAGUUAACACAUUAAGCACCCCGCCUGGGGAGUACGGUCGCAAGACUAAAACUCAAAGGAAUUGACGGGGGCCCGCACAAGCGGCGGAGCAUGCGGAUUAAUUCGAUGCAACGCGAAGAACCUUACCAAGGCUUGACAUAUAGAGGAAAAGCGUAGAAAUACGCUCCCCGCAAGGUCUCUAUACAGGUGGUGCAUGGUUGUCGUCAGCUCGUGUCGUGAGAUGUUGGGUUAAGUCCCGCAACGAGCGCAACCCUCGUCCUAUGUUGCCAGCACGUAAUGGUGGGAACUCAUGGGAGACUGCCGGGGUCAACUCGGAGGAAGGUGGGGAUGACGUCAAAUCAUCAUGCCCCUUAUGUCUUGGGCUUCACGCAUGCUACAAUGGCCAGUACAAAGGGCUGCGAUACCGUAAGGUGGAGCGAAUCCCAUAAAGCUGGUCUCAGUUCGGAUUGAGGUCUGCAACUCGACCUCAUGAAGUCGGAGUCGCUAGUAAUCGUAGAUCAGCAACGCUACGGUGAAUACGUUCCCGGGCCUUGUACACACCGCCCGUCAAGUCACGAAAGUCGGUAACACCCGAAGCCGGUGGCCUAACCGUAAGGAAGGAGCCGUCGAAGGUGG
Molecule: ribosomal RNA, 634 nt
Filed under: uncultured Actinomycetes bacterium
Lineage: Bacteria; Bacillati; Actinomycetota; Actinomycetes
Description: bacterial SSU rRNA
Rfam family: Bacterial small subunit ribosomal RNA
Source: RNAcentral